Non-coding RNA from Pelobates cultripes (western spadefoot toad), 272 nucleotides. NCBI's taxonomy places the organism in Eukaryota, Metazoa, Chordata, Amphibia, Anura, Pelobatidae. The record is from the annotation of a GenBank genome assembly.
CCGCCCUUUUUCUCAACAAAAAAGAAUCCUGCACCAGCUGGUGAGGAUGACUUUCUUAUGUGCCCUUUGCUCAAGGAUUCUUUGAUGUAUUCCUCCAUUAUUUUACUCUCCUGGGUAGAUAAGGCAUAAACUGCCCCCUUAGGUGGCAUAGCACCUGGAAACAGGUUAAUGGCACAGUCAUAUGCUCUGUGGGGAGGCAAUACAUCAGAUUGAGCCUUGUUAAACACCUCCUGAAGUUCUCGGUAUUGUAUGGGAACUCCAGGAGUUUGGGG